CUUUAUGAUAGCAUCAUUUUUAUUCCAGAUUUAUAUUCUAAUGCAUAUUAUUUCCUGAUGACUCUCAGUCCUUGUGUCAAUUAAGCCAGAAUGUUGGAAUAAAUGAUACUGUUAUCAAGUAUCAGUCUGUUGAAAAUUACUCCCUGUACCAAUUUUUCAAAGUCCAAUACUGUGAAAGAGUCAUAAUAUUUUAGUUUUCUUCUCCCUUUAUGGUUUCUUGAUUUGUUAUGACAGUUUUAGGAAAUGGCAAGCAGCUACCCCCCAAAAAAAUGCUAUUGAUACUUGUGAUAGAAACAUAUU
Molecule: long non-coding RNA, 300 nt
Filed under: Pan troglodytes (chimpanzee)
Lineage: Eukaryota; Metazoa; Chordata; Mammalia; Primates; Hominidae
Description: long non-coding RNA NONPTRT013071
Source: RNAcentral